GAUGAACGCUGGCGGCGUGCCUAAUACAUGCAAGUCGAGCGAACGGACGAGAAGCUUGCUUCUCUGAUGUUAGCGGCGGACGGGUGAGUAACACGUGGAUACCCUACCUAUAAGACUGGGAUAACUUCGGGAAACCGUAGCUAAUACCGGAUAAUAUUUUGAACCGCAUGGUUCAAAAGUGAAAGACGGUCUUUCUGUCACUUAUAGAUGGAUCCGCGCUGCAUUAGCUAGUUGGUAAGGUAACGGCUUACCAAGGCAACGAUGCAUAGCCGACCUGAGAGGGUGAUCGGCCACAUUGGAACUGAGCCACGGUCCAGACUCCUACGGGAGGCAGCAGUAGGGAAUCUUCCGCAAUGGGCGAAAGCCUGGCGGAGCAACGCCGCGUGAGUGAUGAAGGUCUUCGGAUCGUAAAACUCUGUUAUUAGGGAAGAACAUAUGUGUAAGUAACUGUGCACAUCUUGACGGUACCUAAUCAGAAAGCCACGGCUAACUACGUG
RNAcentral lists this ribosomal RNA (497 nucleotides) under uncultured bacterium. Its description in RNAcentral is "partial 16S ribosomal RNA". It matches the Rfam family "Bacterial small subunit ribosomal RNA", at positions 28 to 507 of the family's 1533-position model. The record is from RNAcentral.